CAGAGGGUGCGAGCGUUGUUCGGAAUUACUGGGCGUAAAGCGCGCGCAGGCGGUUCUUUAAGUCUACCCGUGAAAUGCCGGAGCUCAACUCCGUGCACGCCGGGGGAUACUGGAGAACUGGAGACAGGUAGAGGCAGGCGGAACUCCGGGUGUAGCGGUGGAAUGCGUAGAGAUCCGGAAGAACACCAGAGGCGAAGGCGGCCUGCUGGGCCUUGUCUGACGCUGAGGCGCGAAAGCGUGGGGAGCGAACAGGAUUAGAUACCCUGGUAGUCCACGCCGUAAACGAUGGGCACUGGGCGCGGGUGGGAUCGACCCCUUCCGUGCCGUAGCUAACGCGAUAAGUGCCCCGCCUGGGGAGUACGGCCGCAAGGCUG
Molecule: ribosomal RNA, 374 nt
Filed under: uncultured organism
Description: bacterial SSU rRNA
Rfam family: Bacterial small subunit ribosomal RNA
Source: RNAcentral